This 379-nucleotide ribosomal RNA is filed under the name uncultured bacterium. RNAcentral describes it as "bacterial SSU rRNA". It matches the Rfam family "Bacterial small subunit ribosomal RNA", at positions 521 to 896 of the family's 1533-position model. The record is from RNAcentral.
UAAAACGUAGGAGACGAACGUUAUCCGGAGUUACUGGGCGUAAAGGGCGUGCAGGCGGCUUGAUAAGUUCGGCGUGAAAUUUCCCGGCUUAACCGGGGGAUGUCGUCGGAGACUGUCGAGCUAGAGGGUGAUAGAGGCGUGUGGAAUUCCGGGUGUAGUGGUGAAAUGCGUAGAGAUCCGGAGGAACACCAGUGGCGAAGGCGACACGCUGGGUCAUACCUGACGCUAAAACGCGACAGCAUGGGGAGCGAACGGGAUUAGAAACCCCGGUAGUCCAUGCCGUAAACGAUGCCAACUCGGUGUUUGGUCCGGGGAACCGGACUGGGUACCCAAGCAAACGCGGUAAGUUGGCCGCCUGGGGAGUACGGUCGCAAGAUUA